CCAGAGUAGCUGGGACUACAGGCGCCUGCCACCUAGCCCGGAUAAUUUUUUGUAUUUUUAGUAGAGACGGGGUUUCACCGUGUUAGCCAGGAUGGUCUCGAUCUCCUGACCUCGUGAUCCGCCUUCCUCACAUCGUGAUCCGCCCUCCUCAGCCUCCCAAAGUGCUGGGAUUACAGGCAUGAGCCACCGCGCCCGGCCUAUAUAUUGGCUCUUUUCAAGACUUCUAGAGACUGCAGACUCAGUAGGCACUUGCUUCAACUGUGUUACUUGCACGUAAAACUAAGGCUGGUAAUUCAACAUAUGGCUGACAACACUUCUCAGCAGAGAGGUAAUAUUUUACCUGAAUAAUUAAAAUGCUAUUUAUUUCAUUUACUGGAUGACAUUAGCAUAAUGUGCAUUACCAGUUUUCUAAUAACAUAAAAUAUCUCUUCAUUCUUAUAAGCAUGUACCAUUUCAACAAUUGUGACAGAGUGACACUAUAUUUCAAAGGCAGUUUUGCCCUAAGCAAGACUUAACAUCUUUUUAAGUAGUUUAAAAAUAUCCAAAGCUUAUCUCCAGAGGACAUCUGCUACUGUUGUUAUGGAACAUAAAAGACAUUUACCGUCAAAAUGCAGGCAGUCUACUAGCUAAUUUCAAAUGCAUAAAUGAGUGCCUAAUCAAAAAAAUCAUCAAAUAUCUGAGAAAAAUGGACACCAUAAAAGAGAGAUAAUCUCAACCAGAUGAAGUAUUUCUACCUGUAAAAGAGUUAUUAGCUCAAUCAGAACAGAACUUUAAAGUACUAUAUUAGUAUCCUACAUUAUAAUUUCUCUAUACUUUCAUAGUCAAUUUAUUCCCUUAUUCUCUUAAAUAAUAUUUUCACACUGCCAUCUCUCUCUUCAGUCUUUCCCGACACAGUCGCCACUAUCUGCUGAUGCUGUUUAUUCCUGUAUGAGUGAGAAUGUUGAAAUAGAUUCCAAUACCAAUUGCACCCUAACCAGCAUUUGUACCCACAUCCUCUUCUGGAAUUUUUCUUGCUACUUAUAAAUGAACAUUCUAUGCUUCCAGCUGAAGAGCAUCCAUUCAAGAACACUUGUUCCCAG
Molecule: long non-coding RNA, 1079 nt
Filed under: Homo sapiens (human)
Lineage: Eukaryota; Metazoa; Chordata; Mammalia; Primates; Hominidae
Description: HSALNT0019158
Source: RNAcentral